This is a non-coding RNA of Cyanistes caeruleus (blue tit), 446 nucleotides long. Lineage: Eukaryota; Metazoa; Chordata; Aves; Passeriformes; Paridae. The record is from RefSeq and is a predicted model, not a curated record.
GGCUGCCAGAGCUCCAGGAGAGCUCGGACAGCGCUGCCAGGGAUGCCCAGGGUGGGGCUGUCGGGAGGUCUGGGCAGAGGCUGGACUGGAUGAUCCCUGUGGGUCCCUUCCAACUCAGCCUAUUCUGUAAUCAUGUCAUCUGAUUCUGUAAUCAUCCAUUACAUGACUGAUACAGCUUCAAAUAUUUUUGUUGGAAGAAUAUAUUUUUUUCUUUGUAGAAUAUUUUACCUGUUUGUUUUUAGAUCAGCAAGAUUUCUGAGAUGGAGGGAAAGUCUGACUUCAGAGUGGCCCUUUGCAAUUUCACUGUUGCUGUUUCCUUCCUGUUGAAUCACCAGGUCCGGCUUAGCUGUGAUUCAUGAAACUCAGCACCUGAGGACAUUUGCUGCAGAGACACUUGUAUCUGCUUUUUGAUAAAUGUAACCAAUAAAUCCCUUCUGUAUUUCAAA